This 523-nucleotide ribosomal RNA is filed under the name uncultured bacterium. RNAcentral's name for it is "partial 16S ribosomal RNA". It matches the Rfam family "Bacterial small subunit ribosomal RNA", at positions 28 to 523 of the family's 1533-position model. The record is from RNAcentral.
GACGAACGCUGGCGGCGUGCUUAACACAUGCAAGUCGAACGGACAGACAGAGAGCUUGCUCUCUUGAAGUUAGUGGCGAACGGGUGAGUAACGCGUAAUCAACCUGCCCUUCAGAGGGGGAUAACAACGGGAAACCGUUGCUAAUACCGCGUACGAUUCAUGAACGGCAUCGUUUAUGAAUGAAAGGUGGCCUCUAUGUAUAAGCUAUCGCUGAAGGAGGGGAUUGCGUCUGAUUAGCUAGUGGGAGGGGUAACGGCCCACCAAGGCAAUGAUCAGUAGCCGGUCUGAGAGGAUGAACGGCCACAUUGGGACUGAGACACGGCCAAACUCCUACGGGAGGCAGCAGUGGGGAAUCUUCCGCAAUGGACGAAAGUCUGACGGAGCAACGCCGCGUGAGUGAUGAAGGUCUUCGGAUUGUAAAGCUCUGUUAAUCGGGACGAAAGAGUUCUGCGUGAAUAAUGCAGAAAAGUGACGGUACCGGAAUAGAAAGCCACGGCUAACUACGUGCCAGCCGCCGCAGUAA